This 492-nucleotide ribosomal RNA is filed under the name uncultured bacterium. Its description in RNAcentral is "partial 16S ribosomal RNA". It matches the Rfam family "Bacterial small subunit ribosomal RNA", at positions 29 to 507 of the family's 1533-position model. The record is from RNAcentral.
AGUGAACGCUGGCGGUAGGCCUAACACAUGCAAGUCGAACGGCAGCACAGUAAGAGCUUGCUCUUACGGGUGGCGAGUGGCGGACGGGUGAGGAAUACAUCGGAAUCUACUUUUUCGUGGGGGAUAACGUAGGGAAACUUACGCUAAUACCGCAUACGACCUACGGUUGAAAGCAGUGGAUCUUCGGACCUUGCGCGAUUGAAUGAGCCGAUGUCGGAUUAGCUAGUUGGCGGGGUAAAGGCCCACCAAGGCGACGAUCCGUAGCUGGUCUGAGAGGAUGAUCAGCCACACUGGAACUGAGACACGGUCCAGACCCCUACGGGAGGCAGCAGUGGGGAAUAUUGGACAAUGGGCGCAAGCCUGAUCCAGCCAUACCGCGUGGGUGAAGAAGGCCUUCGGGUUGUAAAGCCCUUUUGUUGGGAAAGAAAAGCAGCAGGUUAAUACCCCGCUGUUCUGACGGUAACCAAAGAAUAAGCACCGGCUAACUUCGUG